Molecule: long non-coding RNA, 776 nt
Organism: Drosophila montana
Lineage: Eukaryota; Metazoa; Arthropoda; Insecta; Diptera; Drosophilidae
Exons: 3
Source: RefSeq, a predicted model, not a curated record
GACUUCGCUCAGGAAGGUCGUGUGCGCGCUCGCCACUGAGAAAAAGUAAACGACAAAAACAAACAAAAAAAGCUUAAUCAAAAAGCUCGUUUCGUAUCGCACGCUCGUUCGGUUCGACGUUUCGCAACACGCGCGCAAAUCCCAAAUAAAAUAAACAACAACAACCAAGCGAAAAGCAGUAAACACACAAUUGGAUUAAUUCUGCAAAUAAUAAACAAACAACUUGGGCAAUUAAGGAAGUAAUUUGUGGCCAAAGUUGUUGCUGUUGUCGUCGUCGUCGUCGCAGUCGCAGUCGUUGCAAGAUCAUCAGCCAGCAGCCGUCAUGAAUGCAACCACAUGAAACGUCGGCUGUUGAAGCGUCAACAGCAAUUGCCAUAAUUGCCAUUGGAGCAGCAAAACAUACACCAAACACACACACACACACACAUAAGCUCACUCGCUCGCACACACCUUCACACACAUCCCAGAGCUGCAGGCAAGGAGUCCAAUAACCGCACCACCAGCUGAAACUCGCCACACGAGAUAUUCGCGGCAGGCACAAAAUCGAAAACCAAUUGCCAGCAGCAGCAGCAGCGGCUCCUUCAACCGAAUUGUAACAGCGUCAAGCGUGGAGCGUCGGGCGCCGGAAAAUCCCCAAAGCCUAACAAAAAAAUAAAUAAAAUAGAAAUAAAAACGCAGCAGCAAACCAGUGGAGUGGGGAUCAAUGAACGCGGCACGCAGCAGUUGCCAGCAACAACAACAACAGCAGAAGAAAAGCGAAACGGGCCAGCAAUUGG